RNAcentral lists this ribosomal RNA (570 nucleotides) under Glyptothorax granulus. RNAcentral's name for it is "partial 16S ribosomal RNA". It matches the Rfam family "Bacterial large subunit ribosomal RNA", at positions 1816 to 2597 of the family's 2925-position model. The record is from RNAcentral. Lineage: Eukaryota; Metazoa; Chordata; Actinopteri; Siluriformes; Sisoridae.
CGCCUCCUGCAAACAACGACGUAUAGGAGGUCUUGCCUGCCCAGUGACAAUGUUAAACGGCCGCGGUAUUUUGACCGUGCGAAGGUAGCGCAAUCACUUGUCUUUUAAAUGAAGACCUGUAUGAAUGGUGAAACGAGGGCUUAACUGUCUCCCUUUUCUAGUCAAUGAAAUUGAUCUGCCCGUGCAGAAGCGGACAUAAUAAUACAAGACGAGAAGACCCUUUGGAGCUUAAGAUAUAAAGAUCAUCUAUGUCAAUGAGCCCCAACACGGCAACAAACUAAAUAGCAACUGAUCUUAAUCUUCGGUUGGGGCGACCACGGGAGAAAACAAAGCUCCCACGCGGACUGGGGUAAACCCUAAAACCAAGAAAAACAUUUCUAAGUAACAGAACUUCUGACCAUUAAGAUCCGGCUAAACGCCGACCAACGGACCAAGUUACCCUAGGGAUAACAGCGCAAUCCCCUUUCAGAGUCCAUAUCGACAAGGGGGUUUACGACCUCGAUGUUGGAUCAGGACAUCCUAAUGGUGCAGCCGCUAUUAAGGGUUCGUUUGUUCAACGAUUAAAGUCCU